CCUACGGGUGGCUGCAGUGGGGAAUAUUGGACAAUGGGCGAAAGCCUGAUCCAGCCAUGCCGCGUGUGUGAAGAAGGCCUUCGGGUUGUAAAGCACUUUCAGUGGGGAAGAAAGCCUUGGGGCUAAUACCCUCGAGGAAGGACAUCACCCACAGAAGAAGCACCGGCUAACUCCGUGCCAGCAGCCGCGGUAAUACGGAGGGUGCGAGCGUUAAUCGGAAUUACUGGGCGUAAAGCGCGCGUAGGCGGUCUGAUAAGCCGGUUGUGAAAGCCCCGGGCUCAACCUGGGAACGGCAUCCGGAACUGUCAGGCUAGAGUGCAGGAGAGGAAGGUAGAAUUCCCGGUGUAGCGGUGAAAUGCGUAGAGAUCGGGAGGAAUACCAGUGGCGAAGGCGGCCUUCUGGACUGACACUGACGCUGAGGUGCGAAAGCGUGGGUAGCAAACAGGAUUAGAUACCCUGGGAGUC
Molecule: ribosomal RNA, 465 nt
Filed under: Vreelandella stevensii
Lineage: Bacteria; Pseudomonadati; Pseudomonadota; Gammaproteobacteria; Oceanospirillales; Halomonadaceae
Description: partial 16S ribosomal RNA
Rfam family: Bacterial small subunit ribosomal RNA
Source: RNAcentral